CUUCCCCAAAAGGUCAAUGAUUUCUUCAACCCUCCCCCUCCACUCCACGUAAUAAAUUUUGGAGUUCAAAACCAAUGCACUUUGCAUCCUCAGCCUGACAUCUUCUGUGCUACUUAUGGGUCCACAUUUCAGAGAAAUGGUGCAAAACAGCAGCUGCCUUCCUGCACCAGGCCCGGGGUGGGGGCUGGAACCUCAGGUGGUGCUGAGUCCCCAAAAUCAGUUUUUCUGGGGGGGGAUUUAGGGAAUUAGUGAUACUUUGGAGUGAGCUGCAGCAGGAUGGGGGUAACAGGGGCGACCAAAGGGCUUCGAAGGGAAGGUGAAGAGUGAGCAAGAAAAGGGUCUGGGAAAGCCAAGGAGCUGCUGCCAGAACCUGGGGGGCCGCCCCCCCCCCCCUCCCAACACAACCCACUUUCCCUGGAAUGCAGUUCUUUACACAUCUUUCAGCCCCAUUUCCCCCCUUUCCACCCCUCUGCCAAGAGAGGUAGCAGCACCCAUCCACCCCCACUGCACCCCAACCAUCCCCAAACAACCCCCCCUUGCAUUCAGUCCCACCCUAUUUCGGUGGAAAAAGGAAGAGGGGAAGAAGGCAUAGUGCAGGCGGUGCAGCCGCCCCUACCUGCGUGCAGUGCCAGGAGCCAGGCGGCGGGCAGCAGGCGCGGGGUGCCCACAGCUCCCCACAUCUCGGGCCGGCUGCAGGGCCCCACUCUGCGUUGCAGCCCCGCUCCGGGCACGUCCCUCCGUGCUGCUGGCCACAAGCCCGGGCAAUUUUUUUCCCUUUUUUUAUUUGUCCCUCGCUCUCUCAAUAGAGCCCUGUGUGUUUCUCCUCCCCAGCAGCCCGAGCUGACACUUGCUUGGGGAGAAAUCACCCAGAUUUGCAAUUUUCCACCCUGUUUCCAUGGGAUGGCUGCAAUGUCCCGUGGGGUUUGGGGAGCUGCGUUCCAGCUCCAGUGCCAAUUAGUUCCCGGCACGGCUCAAUGGGGCAGCGGGAGCGGGGCAGGCUGCCCGGAGCUGCGUCCCACAGGGCGCUGCCAACUCAUCACACCACCGCGCUGAGCUGCCCCGGGCUGCCUGCGUGGCUCAGAAUGCACGCGAGGAUGCUCAGAGGUGUUUGGGGGUGUUUGGGGGGGCGCUGGGGGGCUUUGGGGGCACACCGGAGGAUGCUCAGCGAUUUUGGGGGAAUUGUUUGGGGGGAGUGCUUGGAGGUUUUUAGGGAAGUGAUUUGGGGGGACUUUCGGGGAUUGGAGGGAGAUGCUGGCGAAUGAUUGGAGGUGAGAUGCUGUGGGGGGUCUUUCAGAGGAAGGUUUGGGAGGUGGUUUGGGGAGUGCUAACGGGCAGCUCCAGGGUGCUCAGAAGGGCUUCCUGGGGGGGUGCUCUGGGACGGGCCAGGGAAUGAUUUUGGGCUGCUCUGGGGGAUGUUUCAGUGGGAUGCUUCAGGGGUGCUUCAGAGAUGCUUGGAGGGAUGUUUUGUGGGGUGUUUUGGGGAUGCCUGGGGGGAUUUAUGGGGGUGAUGCUCCCCAGUAAAUGACAUCUUCAGGGUUUAGAUUGCAUUUUCAGGAUGCUCUGUGGGACGUUUCAGGGAGAUGCUCUGGAGGCUGUUUGUGGGAUGCCCAGGGGUUGUUUCAGAGGGAUGAGCUGGAGGAUGCUUUAGGGAUGCUCUGGGGAUGCUUGAGGGGGGAAGCCCUCGGGGGCGCUCGCAGGAUGCCCCGGGGAUUGCGGGGGUGAUGCUCUGUGAGGACUCUUCGGGGCUGUGCUCUGGGCUGUCUCGAGGAUGCUCUGGGGACGCUUUAGGGGUGCUCAGGGAUGUUUCAGGACAACGUUCCGGAGGCUCCCAGGGCACGGACCUCCUCCACACCAUUUCCCCCCCCCCGCCCCCAUCAUCCCUUCCGCCCGCAGCGGGACGCGAACCGGGGACG
Molecule: long non-coding RNA, 1913 nt
Filed under: Gallus gallus (chicken)
Lineage: Eukaryota; Metazoa; Chordata; Aves; Galliformes; Phasianidae
Description: long non-coding RNA NONGGAT005206
Source: RNAcentral